Molecule: ribosomal RNA, 253 nt
Filed under: uncultured bacterium
Lineage: Bacteria
Description: partial 16S ribosomal RNA
Rfam family: Bacterial small subunit ribosomal RNA
Source: RNAcentral
UACGUAGGUGCCAAGCGUUGUCCGGAAUUAUUGGGCGUAAAGGGCUCGUAGGCGGUCUGUUGCGUCGGGAGUGAAAACUUACAGCUUAACUGUGAGCGUGCUUUCGAUACGGGCAGACUUGAGGCAUUCAGGGGAGAACGGAAUUCCUGGUGUAGCGGUGAAAUGCGCAGAUAUCAGGAGGAACACCGGUGGCGAAGGCGGAUCUCUGGGCCUUACCUGACGCUGAGGCGCGAAAGCUAGGGGAGCGAACAGG